GAGUGUUUAAAGCAGGCUCACGCUUGAAUACAUUAGCAUGGAAUAAUGAAAUAGGACAUCCGAUUCUAUUUUGUUGGUUUCUAGGAUCGAUGUAAUGAUUGAUAGGGAUAUUGGGGGCAUUAGUAUUCAAUCGUCAGAGGUGAAAUUCUUGGAUUGAUUGAAGACUAACUACUGCGAAAGCAUUUGCCAAGGAUGUUUUCAUUAAUCAGUGAACGAAAGUUAGGGGAUCGAAGACGAUCAGAUACCGUCGUAGUCUUAACCAUAAACUAUGCCGACUAGGGAUCGGACGAUGUUAUUUAUUGACUCGUUCGGCGCCUUACGGGAAAC
This 327-nucleotide ribosomal RNA is filed under the name uncultured Glomus. Its description in RNAcentral is "SSU rRNA". It matches the Rfam family "Eukaryotic small subunit ribosomal RNA", at positions 769 to 1098 of the family's 1831-position model. The record is from RNAcentral. Lineage: Eukaryota; Fungi; Glomeromycota; Glomeromycetes; Glomerales; Glomeraceae.